UCAACACAAAUACGAUUAAUAGUUUCUUUACUAUAUAGUCAAUAAGCUAAUACUUUCUUGUUUAUUGCCAUUGUAUGCAUUUACACAUGACAAAGGAAAAACAGUACAUUAAAUGUCUUCACACCUUGAACUACUCCUUGGUCGACGCCUUUUGACCAAAAGAAAAAACUAAACAUUAAAUGUCUUCAAACUCCUUGAUCAUCGCCAUUUGUGAUUGUUCAAGAACCUUGUCCUAUUUUCAAGAGGAAAAAAUAAAAGAUCAAAGUCCAACAAAGAACAAAAAUUCCAACAAGAUGAACUAUUUAGUUACAUGGACGUUGUUAUAAGUUAAAAGACACUUUUGCAUUUCCACAUAAAAAAUAUCUUAAAUAAUUUUGCAUUCUCAAAGUGGUAGUAGAUUUAAGUCAUCCACCACCAUUCUUUCUGGAAGUGGAGGGUGCUCACCACUAGAGUAACCCACUCUUGUCAACAUAGUAUAGUGGGAAAAUAGCAUUUACUCAUCCAACACCAUUUUUCCUGCUGUUACGAACUGUGUACAUAAUAACCUGAACCCUUACUAGUUUAUCUUGAGUUGACAUGUUCCAUGCGACAUAGGCUGAGUUCUAGAUAUAAAUGCUAUUGUCGUCCCACAAAAUAUGAAAUUGAUCAAACAUAAGUGAGUAUAUAUCAAUAAAACCAAACCAACCCACCCCUCACUACCAAAAAAGGAACUGCAUCCACGAAAUAUAAGAAGUGCAAUGAAACAGGAGAAUGUAGAUGUUAAGAAUUAGCAGCAACCAAGCCUCUAUGUCUUGUCAUCAGAAUACCUUUAGAACUAGCUUCGCCUUAAUUUUCUAGUGCAUGUACUCAUCACCUGGCUUGACACUUCCAUGUCAAAUGGGUAUGAUAUGUAUGUUAAUAAUUCAAACAGAUGGUUCAAUAUCACUUACGAUCUAUUUUGACGGAGACAUUUUGGCUGUAAGAGGAGAUUUCAUACCAAUAGAUUUCAAAUUUUUAAAUACUACAAAAAUUCAUGUAGUAGAGAGGUCUCCUAGUCAUGGGAGUUGCCUAAGCAAAGAAAUGUAAGUUCGGCGAAAUAAUAAGUAAAAAAUCAGAACUCAUGUCUCUAGGUUGAAAUGUACAUCACGUUAUCAAUGUUAAGGACAACGCACUUCUAUAAAUCUCUGAAGAAACAACCAUAGAACGACAGUGGUAACUUACUUGUCGAAUUAUUGCACGCGCAUAGGUAGAAGACAAUAUGAAGUUUCCGUGGAAUCAUCGAUAAACAAACUUUUUUCACCACUAGCCUUAAAUAUCAAUAGAUGUAUAAAAGAACUCCUUGUAACAACAGGAGUAAUCCAAUCAGUUUUAUUCAUUAAAAACAAACCAAAACUACUUCCCAGUCAAGUAUCUACACUAACUAAAACUACUUCUCAGUGGCGGAGCCACCCUUACCCAAGGGGUGUUAAUCGACACCCUAUCGCCGGAAAAUAACACCAUAGUAGAUAGAUAUUUUAGAUAUGUUUUUCUUAAAAAUUGAAUAUUUACAAGGGGUUGACAACCCUUGACAUAAGACAAACUCUUAGUGCAAUGAUUAAGGGGUGUCAAAAAUUACAGAAGGUUGCAAGUUUCAUUCCCCAUAGUAGCAAUUUUUUUUGACACCCCUUUGUAUAAUUUCUGGCUCCGCCACUGCUACUUCUCUUUCGACAAACCAUAAAACCAGAACCAAAAGAGAUGGCCUCCUUCACAUAUUCAUUUGGCAGUCACUUCAUAAAUCGUGAAUCUGAUUUUAGUGGUCAAUGAAGUGAGACGAGAACCAUAAGGUCUCAAAUUCAAAUCUUAUCGAAAUCGCAUUCCGACCCCGAUAUCGCAUAAGUCAAUUAUGGGUCAAGCUUCUUCAUAUUUCCAACUUCAACUUUUUUCCAAUUUCCGCUAAAAUGGCUCAAAUUCUACGGACCACCAAAUCUGAAUCCAGACGCGCGCCUAAGUCCAAAAUCACCAUAAGAAGUUGUUGAGAUUAUCCGCAACCCAUUCCGGGUCCGUUUACCCAAAGUCCAAUUCCAAUCAGCUUUUCACCGUUCAAACUUCCAUAACUAAAUUCCUUCUUCCAAUUUGACUCUAAACCAUCCAUAAACUGAAUUCCACCAUGCACGCAAGUCGAUACUCAUAUUCUGAAGCUGUUCGAGACCUUACGCCGUUAAACGAAGCUUAAUUUCUCAAAACGACCGAUCGGGUCGUUACAUCCUCCCCCUCUUAAAACCAAUAUUCGUCCUUAAACGUGCUAAGAUUCGCCUUGAAAUCCUCAAGCAACUGAGUACACACUUCCAACAUACACCCGCGGGUGAUCCCACGUCACCCCAAUCCACAUAAGCAUGGCGACAACAUCUCAACUGAAAUUUAGCCUUUCUAGCAAUAUCAAAAAACCUUCAAGCCAGAAUUCUCACAGACUCAAACUAUAUUUGGAAAAUGCUAUCAAAUAAAAAGUAGGACAAGUCCUUGCUACUUGUAACACUGGAAAAGGUCAACUUUAAAAGUAUGGAGCAGUCAAAUAUAGAACACACAUAGAUUUAUCUCCAUAACACACUAUAAGAGAAUCAAUAUCUAACAGCAUCGCAAGUAGUGUGACAUAAGUCAUAUCCUAUAGUAUUCAAUUCCAUGCACAUCAUACAACAACAACUCAAUAUAAUCCCACUUAGUGGGGUUUGGGAAGGGUAGUGUGUACGCAGACCUUACCCCUACCCUGGGGUAGAGAGGCUGUUUUUAAAAUAUCUUUAAUCUUUAGCCACUGCUUUAAUAACUUUAACUUCCCGGACGAAACUACAAUUCUGCUCAUGUCCUUAACUUUUGAACUUAACUUCAGCACUUCAGAAAAACAUGUCAUUGAUUUUGAACUUGUAACUCUAAGUUUAGGACUUCAGAACUGCAUUUCCUUAACUUUUGAACUUGUAACUGUAAGUUCAUGACCAAGUGUCCUUAACUUUUGAGCUUGUUAGUCUAAGUCAACAACAACAACCCAGUAUAAUCCCACUUAGUGGGGUCUGGGAAGCGUAGUGUGUACGCAGACCUUACCCCUAUCCUUGGGUAGAGAGGCUGUUUCCAAAUAGACCCCCGUCAUCCUUCUCUCCAAGAAUUUCCCACCUUGCUCUUGGGAAAACUCGAACUCACAACCUCUCGAUUGGAAGUGGGGGUUGCUUACCAUCAGAGCAACCCCUCGGUUGGAGGUGGGGUUGCACAUCAUACUUUAGUGCAAAUCCUAGCUCCAAAAUAAGGCAGCCCCAUACUAGGGAAACAACAUAAAGACGGUUUCAUCAUUAGGGAUGUUGAAUUAUCAGAAGAAAAAAAUGCAAGGCUUUGAAAGUUGUUUGAAAAGACUUGAUUUCAUGAAGAACAUAAAUUAUUUAAGCUGAGUAAAAGACCUGACUCACAUGCUCUCCUUUUUGAACUUUUUACAAGUAUGACAGCAACAACAAUAACAACAAUUAUCCAAUAUAGUUCCAUAAAGUGGGGUCUGGGAGGGUAGAGCUGUUUCCAAUCGACUUAUUACAAGUAUGACCUUUUUUCUAAAUAUAUAAGAAAAGACAGAGUAGAAUGUUUGGGUGAAGUGAACAACGCUCAUAAGUGUAUAAAGUAGAGAUUAAAUAAAGAAAAAAUGCUCAUGUUCUACAAAUGAAAUACAUUGAAAAAUUUCUUAAAACUCAAUAUUUCAAAAGGAACAGAAUCCAUCUUCAAACUCAAAAUCCAAGUAAAUUCAACCUAAAAGAAGCCUUUUUAUACAAUUACUGAACUCAAGAUACCCAAUAUAAUAUCGAGCAUGCAAUCACAAUAACAACACCAAAAGGUCUAGAAUUUCAAAAAACGAAAAAAGAAAAAAACUUUCAGCUUACCUAAGAGAAAACUGAGAUAGGACCGUCAAGAUCGAGAAUUGAAAAAAUAUAGGAAUGAAACUUCAAAAACUUCGGACGGUUUGGAACAACGUACCCUCGUAAUGCUUUUCAAACUUCAUAUUUUCCUCAUUCCUUCUUUAGCUUCAGACCACUGUCGGUUCCUCUAGAUUGCAAAUGGGUCGGAAAAUUUGAGGUAAAAUUAGAGAAUACAUUUACCACAAAAAAAGGAAUUGAGAUUUGAACAUAUACUUGAUCGAAUCAAAAUUUGUAAUUAGGGUUUUUGAAUCUCUACCAUAUGGUUCAUAUUUUGUGAUUUGAGUAGAUAGAUUUGAGACAUUUGAGGUUUUCGACUGUAGAGAACAUUGAGAAUUUUACAGAGAAGAGGGAGCAAACAAGUGGUACUGCAGAAAGAAAUCGAGCAAAGAGACAUUUGAUAAGUUUGAGGUUUUUGAUUAAGAAAU
This 4324-nucleotide long non-coding RNA is filed under the name Nicotiana benthamiana. RNAcentral's name for it is "long non-coding RNA (NBEN_LNC005677)". The record is from RNAcentral. Lineage: Eukaryota; Viridiplantae; Streptophyta; Magnoliopsida; Solanales; Solanaceae.